AACGAACGCUGGCGGCAGGCCUAACACAUGCAAGUCGAGCGAGGACUUCGGUUCUAGCGGCGGACGGGUGAGUAACGCGUGGGAAUGUGCCCUUCUCUACGGAAUAGCCCUGGGAAACUGGGAGUAAUACCGUAUACGCCCUAUUGGGGAAAGAUUUAUCGGAGAAGGAUCAGCCCGCGUUGGAUUAGGUAGUUGGUGGGGUAAUGGCCUACCAAGCCGACGAUCCAUAGCUGGUUUGAGAGGAUGAUCAGCCACACUGGGACUGAGACACGGCCCAGACUCCUGCGGGAGGCAGCAGUGGGGAAUCUUAGACAAUGGGGGCAACCCUGAUCUAGCCAUGCCGCGUGAGUGAUGAAGGCCUUAGGGUUGUAAAGCUCUUUCAGCUGGGAAGAUAAUGACGGUACCAGCAGAAGAAGCCCCGGCUAACUCCGUG
This 433-nucleotide ribosomal RNA is filed under the name uncultured bacterium. Its description in RNAcentral is "partial 16S ribosomal RNA". It matches the Rfam family "Bacterial small subunit ribosomal RNA", at positions 29 to 507 of the family's 1533-position model. The record is from RNAcentral.